CGAUUAAAAAAAAAGAUUUUUGUCUCUUAGUUCUCCUUUUUGCUCUUUUAAUUGCGAUUUUAUAGGUUGAAUAGGGCAGUUCAUCCGCCAACGUCCAGGGUGACCUUUUCAAUGUGAUUUCUGAUUGUGGAUUCUUUGUUUAUAAAGAUUGUGAUAUGCUUUUUUGGGAAGAUCGUCCACCUCUAAUAGAGAUACAGCAGACUCGACCUCAUUUGACUAAUUAAUUUUAGCUACUUUACAUGGACACACUAAUGUUAACCUAGAUGAAUGUGCACUAUUAUUAGAUAUUUGCCCAUGUGUUUGUGCUAAAUUAGUACCAUACUUAUACAAACAUUAUUACUAUUAGCUAUUAAUGUGUACUUAUUGUUUAUUUAUAUUUAGGUAUUUACUGUCAAAGGGUUUGCCCUUGUCAACUAUCCUGACAGUGAUGAGGCUGAUGAGGAUUGUGUUGUUCCAAAGGAGACAAGGAAUGAAAGCAUUCAGAUGGAUAGAGUAGAAGAUCUUUCUGUUUCUCUUUAUUCAUCAAGUGAUGAAAGCACAGAUGAGCCUUCCAAUAAAAUGUUUUCAGAAAGGCCGAGUAGAAGCUGUCGCCAUCCUAUUCAGAGGAGCCUUGUAGAAUCCGAUAACUCGUGUGGUGAUAGCGAAGAUGAGUAUAUUCCAAAUUCCAGGGAGGAAAGCACAGGGGAAAGCUAUGACAGUGACUGCAGCUUGGAGUUAUCUUUGGAAAAUAAAACCAAGUCAUCUGUUCGUCAGAGCAGAAGUGAGUCUUCAAGUCAGAGUCGAUUUGAUUCCAGUCAGAGCAGAAGUUUUGAAGCAAGUCUCGACUCAGUGGAAAGAUUUUCUGAGAGCAGAGAAGAUAGAAGCAGAGAGAAAACAGUGCGAACAUAUAGUAACAAGGACACAAGUGUGUCAGUGCCACUUGAAGAAGAGGCAUCUGUGUAUGUUAAUCCAGUUUACAAAAAGGAGGAUGGUUCAAGACGAUAUAACAAGAAGCAUCACUGCUUGUAUUGUGGAGAAGUAGUUCAGAAAAUGUCAAGACACUUGUCGCGUAAACACAGCGAUAUGGUUGAGGGUGCAAAGGCAUUAAGUUUGCCAAAGAACUCAAAAGAAAGGCGACGGCAGUUGAAUUAUAUUCGAAACAAGGGGAACUUUGACCAUAACACUGAAGUUUUGGAGAGCCGCAAAGGCAAACUCAUCCCAUGGAAGCAACCAAAAAAAAAACUGAAGGACAGGAAUUUAUGCACUGUGUUUACUGCUACGGAUUGUUCAGAAAAAGAGUGAUGUGGCGACAUUUUCAGGUCUGCAAUUUCAAGCCUCAGGGCAACCCAUCUAAACGAGGUAAAACAAGAGUUCAGGCAUUGUGUGCUUUUGCUGAACCUGCUCCAACUGGAUUUAGUGAUGCAUACUGGAAGUUCUUAAGUGACAUGAAUCAAGACGAGGUUGCAGUUGCAAUUAAGGAAGGCCGCUGCAUUCUUGAGUAUGAUUUCAGACUGUUCAACAAGAAUGACAAGGUUAUCAGCCAACACCAAUAUAUUCGACAAAAACUGAGAGAGCUUGGCAGACUGGUACUGGAAGCAAAAAAGUUGACUUAUGUGAAGACGAUCAAAAAACUCAUAAAACCUGAAAAGUACACUUAUGUUGUCAGAGCUGCAAGAUGCCUAGCUGGAUUCAGUAAUGAAACUGGCAAAUACCAACGUCCAUCUCUUGCUCGCAAAGUUGGACAUGGGUUGCAUGCUUUAGCCGUGUUUAUCAAGUCUGAAGGAUUGAAGAUGAAAGAUCAUCAGACUGCCAAAGAUGCUGAGGAAUUUGCCUUGCUGUACCAAGAAAGUUGGAAAUUUGACAUUGCUAGCCAAGCGCUAACUCAGAUUAACCAGAGCAAGUGGAAUUCUCCUCAGAUUCUACUGUUCACACAGGAUGUCCAAAAACUUCAUUGCUAUUUGUCAGAGAAACAGCAGAAACAACUUGAUGCACCUUCUCCCUUAAACUGGAAAGAGCUUGCAAAGGUGACCUUGGCACAAGUGAUCCUUUUCAAUCGGCGUAGAGCAGGUGAGGUGUCCCGAAUGCCCUUGUCUGUGUAAUUAUCCAAGGACACAACAGAAACCCAUGAAGAUAUCAAUCUGGCCCUUACAGCCCUUGAGCAGAAGCUUUGCAGACAUUUUGUCCGAAUUGCCAUCGUUGGAAAAAGAGGACGGAAAGUUCCUGUACUACCGACUCCACUCAUGAGGGAAUCGAUCGAUACUUUGACUGAGAAGCGAGAACAAUGUGGAGUGCUGGAUGAAAAUGGAUAUUUGUUUGCAUUGCCACACUCUGUCCAUUAAUUGAGGGGUUCUGACUGCAUUAGGCAGUUUGUUAGUGAAUGUGAGGACAUCAAACAUCCAAAAGCGCUAACCUCAACGAAACUAAGAAAGCACAUUGCUACGCUGUCAACUGUUCUAAAUCUCAAGACUACAGAACUUGACCAGUUGGCCGAUUUCCUUUGGCAUAACAUUGAAGUGCACAGAAAGCACUAUCGCCUCCCAGAGGGUACUCUCCAGCUAGCUAAAAUAAGCAAAGUUCUUCUAGCACUGGAACAGGGACGGCUAGGUGAAUACAGAGGGAAGGAUCUGGAUCAAAUUCAGCUGGAUGUGAAUGAGACUGUUGACAUAGAUGUGGAUGGUUGUUCACAAGAGGAAG
This is a long non-coding RNA of Onychostoma macrolepis, 2673 nucleotides long. RefSeq lists it as uncharacterized. The record is from RefSeq and is a predicted model, not a curated record. NCBI's taxonomy places the organism in Eukaryota, Metazoa, Chordata, Actinopteri, Cypriniformes, Cyprinidae. The transcript is spliced from 4 exons.